CAGUCGCCACGGUAACACGUAGGGUGCAAGCGUUAAUCGGAAUUACUGGGCGUAAAGCGUGCGCAGGCGGUGUUGUAAGACUGAUGUGAAAUCCCCGGGCUCAACCUGGGAACUGCAUUGGUGACUGCAGCGCUGGAGUGCGGCAGAGGGGGAUGGAAUUCCGCGUGUAGCAGUGAAAUGCGUAGAUAUGCGGAGGAACACCGAUGGCGAAGGCAAUCCCCUGGGCCUGCACUGACGCUCAUGCACGAAAGCGUGGGGAGCAAACAGGAUUAGAUACCCCCGUAGUCCCUGUCUCUUAUAC
RNAcentral lists this ribosomal RNA (301 nucleotides) under uncultured bacterium. Its description in RNAcentral is "partial 16S ribosomal RNA". It matches the Rfam family "Bacterial small subunit ribosomal RNA", at positions 509 to 807 of the family's 1533-position model. The record is from RNAcentral.